CUCACUCUCUCGGCCUCUCCGCCUCUCUCUCUCUCGAUCGAACUCUCGGCCUCUCCGCCUCUCUCACGCUCUGAAACCCUAAGAUACCGCCGCCCUCAUCCUUCAUCUGCGCCGCCCUCCUCCGAAACCCUAGAUUCUGCCGUCCUGAACCUCCAUCCGCGCCGCCCUCCUCCGAAACCCUAGAUUCUGCCGUCCUCAACCUCCAUCCGCGCCGCCCUCCUCUGAAAUCCUAAAUUCUGUCGUCCUCAACCUCCAUACGCGUUUAUGGCCGAUAAUAUGGGUUGGUCGGCAUAUUUGAACUCCGAAUUCGUCCCCGAUUCGGAGGACGAAGAAUUCUUUAAGCUCAUACCUCCGUUGCCGUCGCCGCCGUCUGGUUUUGUCUAUGAGGGGAGCGGCGGAUUCCAAGGUUCUGAGGAGUCCACCGGCGGUGCUUUCAUGGAGGAUUCGAGGGUUUCGAGGAGUCCGAUCCGGCGGCCCAUCUAUCGCCGCCCCUCUACCGCGAUGAAGGCGCAGGUGUCGGAGCUAGACUCUCUCCUAUGCACGGAAAGCUGGGACGACGUCGUGCGCGAGCGGGAAGAGGCUGUUGGCGGCGACUGGUGGCGACGGUGCUCCCCUUUGUUGCGAAGGAUGGUGGAGACCAUGUAUCCUGCUUUAAAAGGGUGAGAUCUUUCUUAUUGUCCCGAUAUUUGUGAUCGUCUAUGUCUUGUUGGUAUGAGGGGUGUGGCCCUCUGUGCUCUCAUUCCUCUGUGUUCCUCUAUGUCCUGUUGGUAUGAGGGGUGUGACCCUCUGUGCUGUUGUGGUAGAUGGGCUGAAUGCUGAGAUGAUGAACUUGAUGCUCAUUUGUUUGAUUUUCCCUAUAAU
RNAcentral lists this long non-coding RNA (861 nucleotides) under Salvia miltiorrhiza (redroot sage). Its description in RNAcentral is "long non-coding RNA (SMIL_LNC000718)". Lineage: Eukaryota; Viridiplantae; Streptophyta; Magnoliopsida; Lamiales; Lamiaceae. The record is from RNAcentral.